UGAGAUUGAUGCAUAUUAUUAUGACAGCGCGACCCGGACUUGCAAGCCCUACAAGUUUUGUGGGCCACAGUCAGCGCCACAAGGCACCAAUUUCUUCACGACCAUGACGGAUUGCAUCAUGGAAUGCGAAGGGUUUCCAAUCGUAAAGACCAACUAAGAAGACGCGUAGCGCGGUCACUGGCAUGCAUCUCGUUUUCUCCUGUUUGUAGUACAUUGUUUGAAUUUACGUAACUCUUCAGUGACGCCGACCGAGUGCGAAAUUCCCAGUUGAAUAAAUUCGUUCUCAAAUGAAGUUA
Molecule: long non-coding RNA, 296 nt
Organism: Rhipicephalus microplus (southern cattle tick)
Lineage: Eukaryota; Metazoa; Arthropoda; Arachnida; Ixodida; Ixodidae
Source: RefSeq, a predicted model, not a curated record